This 258-nucleotide ribosomal RNA is filed under the name uncultured bacterium. RNAcentral describes it as "partial 16S ribosomal RNA". It matches the Rfam family "Bacterial small subunit ribosomal RNA", at positions 97 to 353 of the family's 1533-position model. The record is from RNAcentral.
GGCGAACGGGUGAGUAACGCGUGAGGAACCUGCCUCAAAGAGGGGGACAACAGUUGGAACGACUGCUAAUACCGCAUAAGCCCACGGGUCGGCAUCGACCAGAGGGAAAGGAGCAAUCCGCUUUGAGAUGGCCUCGCGUCCGAUUAGCUAGUUGGUGAGGUAAUGGCCCACCAAGGCAACGAUCGGUAGCCGGACUGAGAGGUUGAACGGCCACAUUGGGACUGAGACACGGCCCAGACUCCUACGGGAGGCAGCAUG